Long non-coding RNA from Ictalurus punctatus (channel catfish), 1110 nucleotides. The record is from Ensembl. Lineage: Eukaryota; Metazoa; Chordata; Actinopteri; Siluriformes; Ictaluridae.
GGAAUAAAAUAUUAUUGAUCAUGUUCUUUGCAGAACAAGGUUGUUGUAGUAAACAAGGCUGUAAUAAGUAAGUGCAGUACUGUGUGAGGAUGUGAUAUGACUAGUGUCCUUCAACUUUGUUGGUAUGGCCUUACUUAAACACAUGGAUUGUUCUUUUGUGUAAUGCUGGCACAACUUUCAGUUAAAAUAUUCUAUUGUAAUAUUCUUAAGAUAGAAUAUAUUAACACUCAAUAUGAAAUCAACCUUAAUUUAUGGCGGACCUUCUGCCCACUGUAGCCUCAGAUUCCUGUUCUUGGCUUCUGCUGUUAUAGCCCUAUUUGUCGUAUUGUUGGACAUGUCUUUUUAUUGUAAAGAGUGACCCGAGAGUAUAAUGAUAAUAAUGAGUCUUUAUUGAUUACAUAUACAUUACAGCACAGUGAAAUUCUUUUCUUCACAUACCCCAGCAUCGCCGGAAGUUGGGGUCUGAGCGCAGGGUCAGCCAUGAUACAGCGCCCCUGGAGCAGAGAGGGUUAAGGGUCUUGCUCAAGGGCCCAAAAGUGGCCCCAGUAUGUAUACAUAUAUAGGUGCCAUCAACCUUUCCGUUUUUAUUGAACUGCUGUGACGGUGAAAUGGGACUUCAGCUGUAGCUACGAUUAUUUCUAGAAAGAGCAGCUGUGAGGCUGGAACCGUGCUUGAGUGAAGAUAUCCUCAUGGUUGCUGCAUUCAGACCAUGGGAAGAAUCAAUGACGCAUCAAUGAGCUGAGUUCAAACUGCUAAGUUUUGGACGAUGUAUGUGAUGUAAUGGAAUAACUGGAGUUUGGGAGAAAGUCUAUGCCUGAAGCUUCAGCUACUACCCAUUUCUUUGUUUCUCUGCUUGUGAUGCCAUUUCCACAACUCUGAUGGCAAUACAGCAACCCUCAAAUCCACUCAUGAUCUCAUGAUCCCAUGCAGGACCUACUCCUACCAGCUCACCAAUACUAUCAAGCUCCAGAUUCAUCUUCAGCAAUCAACAACCCAGCAUGACUAACCACAUUCAAAUGAAUCAUAUGGGCAUUUAAUAUGGGCUAUACUUACUCCAACCACAACUAGAAAUGUAUCUGUGGGACCCAGUGUGUGUGGGUGUUGGGUAGG